Molecule: unclassified non-coding RNA, 1554 nt
Filed under: Hevea brasiliensis (rubber tree)
Lineage: Eukaryota; Viridiplantae; Streptophyta; Magnoliopsida; Malpighiales; Euphorbiaceae
Source: RNAcentral
UUUUUUUUUCUUCCUUUUUUUUAAAUCCUUCUCUAUGCACAUGAAAGUAUCCUAAAUGUGUUCCUUUUAUUCUUUUCCAAUGCUUGUUAAGGCUAGCUCACAGUCUGCUCUUCCAUGUUGCAAUUCUGCAAGAGGAAUGGUCAGAUGUAUAAUUCCACAUCAACCAAGACUACACUCAAGAAUAAUUAUAAAACAUUUUCCACACACUUUUGAUUUUUAUUAAUUUUGGUCAUAAAUUUUAAUAAUAAUAAUUAAUAUUACAAUCUUAGCUGGAUAGCAUAAUUUGACAUGGAUCAUCAUUACAAUCUUAGCUGGAAUGGCAGAAUUUGGAUGGAUAAUUUAGUAGCAAGUUCAUCUAUUGUUGAAAGCCACCUUUUUCUCAUGGGAAACAACAUGGGGAAAACAAAACUUCGUGGUUGUUGCUCUGUCCCAUCUUAAUAAUUUCUUACCUUUGGCAAAUCUGUUUUAUAUUUUGCCCAAAUAAUUAAGUACAUAGAUCUUGCUAUAUGUGUGUUGCUAUGUGGAUCAGUAGAUGCAAUAAACACAAUGCUUCUUAUCACAAGCAUGGAAUAUUCUACUUUGGAGAAAAAAUUUCCCCAAAAGGAAAUUGAGAAUUUAAAUCAUAAUUGUUUCCAAUAUUAGUAUUUCCUUCCAUAGAUAACCACAAAUUUUUUUUCUCCCUUUAUCCUUUGUCUCCACAUCCUAGCACAAGCAUGCUAUUGUUUUAAAGCUAACAGACUGGCAAUAUCUGUUACAGAUAAAAGAUGAAGUCAAGGAGAGAGACUAUGACAAAUCCAAGGCUACCCCAAAGACUCCAGCCAAGGAAAAUACUAAGCCCCAGGAAUUCAAACUUCACACAGAACAAAGAGCUUACAAACGUGCAAUGUUCAACUAUUCUGUGAGUAGGCUGAGUGACUUUCUAUCUCCUUUAAAUUUCAUGUAUAUGUGUGUCAUAAUUACAAGUUCAACGAUUCAGAUCCCGAUAACCUUCUACUUUUAAGAGUUUCCAAUAAGCCAGAAAAGAAAUUUUUGUUAUUGAUACAGAUUGCAACCAAGCUAUACCUCAUGGAGCUACAAAAGAAACAAAUAGAGAGGGUCCAAAAGAUCAUAGAAGAAGAGGAGAUCCGCAUGCUGAGAAAAGAAAUGAUUCCGCGAGCCCAGUUAAUGCCUUUCUUUGAUAGGCCUUUCUUUCCACAAAGAUCAAACAGGCCUUUGACAAUACCAAGAGAGCCAAGUUUCCACAUGUUGAACAGCAAGUGUUGAAGCCGCAACUCUGGGAAUGAAAACUACCAUUUUGAACAUGCCCAAGCUUUGGAAUUGCUAAAUGAAAGAGAGAGAUUUGUAAAAUGUAAUUUUGGUGUUCACCCAUCCCUGUGCAACAACAACAUAUCUGGUCAUAGAUUUCUUUUCACUACUUCUAUGAAGAGCGUGUUGACAUAUAUAGUGUAACUAUACAUUAGAUUUUUGUAGGAAGUGUGAUUAUUUGGCCUUUUCCAUAGCCAUAACCCAUCCUUUCAAUGGGUAAUUUGUGUCCUUUCCACAUACUAAUAACAU